Non-coding RNA from Drosophila melanogaster (fruit fly), 657 nucleotides. The record is from Ensembl. NCBI's taxonomy places the organism in Eukaryota, Metazoa, Arthropoda, Insecta, Diptera, Drosophilidae.
UUUUCAGUGAUUUCAAAAAAAUGCGACUACACACACAGCCGGCGAUCCAGAGGCACAGGGGCCGGAAAAAGAGAGAGUGAGAACCCAAGAUCUGGACUCGGACUUGCAACCUGAGUGCGCACUUUCAUUUUCAGCUGCCCGCCGCAUAAUUAAUUGCGACCGAAAGUGGACGACGGUUUUUCGUGGCGGCAGAAAGUAAAAAAGCACCCCGAUACCCAAUCGAAGGAACAUCGAACCUGUAGCGACCACUAAACCGGAUCAAAACGGCUGGCUUUUCAUACCCGUGGCAACUUUCUUCUUGCGGCUUCUGACACACUGAACUGACGCAACGCUACGAAGCGCGUGUGGCAAGUGCGGCAAGUGUCUGCCGAGUGAUUCCCUGAUCCCCGAUCCCCAUUCCUGCCCCCAAAGAGUUGAUCUUGCAACGCCCACGAAAAAUGCAAGGAGGCAGCUCCGUGGCUGCCUGAAAUGCCACUUGAAUGCCUCGGCAUCACAACGAAAAUAAAGCAAGUUUUUAGCGCGGAAUGUGGGCGAUGAUGACAAAAAGGAACCAGGGGGCACAUGACGAUUUCCCACGGAGCAGAUGUCCGGAAUACCCUUUUUCCGGGGUAUCAACCUUUAAUCACACAACUAAUAAAUAGUCAAACUUUGCAAUCC